This 497-nucleotide ribosomal RNA is filed under the name uncultured bacterium. Its description in RNAcentral is "partial 16S ribosomal RNA". It matches the Rfam family "Bacterial small subunit ribosomal RNA", at positions 28 to 507 of the family's 1533-position model. The record is from RNAcentral.
GAUGAACGCUGGCGGCGUGCCUAAUACAUGCAAGUCGAGCGAACAGAUGAGGUGCUUGCUCCUCUGACGUUAGCGGCGGACGGGUAAGUAACACGUGGAUAACCUACCUAUAAGACUUAGAUAACUUCGGGAAACCGGAGCUAAUACCAGAUAAUAUAUUGAACCGCAUGGUUCAAUAGUGAAAGACGGUUUUGCUGUCACUUAUCGAUUGAUCCGCGGCUCAUUAGCUAGUUGGUUAGGUAACGGCUUACCAAGGCAGCGAUGCGUAGCCGACGCGAGCGGGUGUUCGGCGACAGUGGGACUGAGACACGAUCCAGAGACCGACGGGAGGCACAAGUAGCGAAUGUAGGGAGAAGGGGGAAAGCUUGACGGAGCAACGGAGGGUGAGUGAUGCAGGUCUGCGGAUGGGAAGACUGUGUUAUGGUUGAAGACCGAAUUUGUAAGUAACGAUGCACGGCGUGACGGUAGUUAAUAAGAAAGCCACGGCUAACUACGUG